Long non-coding RNA from Acanthopagrus latus (yellowfin seabream), 1814 nucleotides. RefSeq lists it as uncharacterized. The record is from RefSeq and is a predicted model, not a curated record. NCBI's taxonomy places the organism in Eukaryota, Metazoa, Chordata, Actinopteri, Spariformes, Sparidae. The transcript has 2 exons.
GGUGUUCUAACCUGCGAACUGAUAAUGGUUUAAAAACAGGGAAGAAAAUGUGACACCACGAUAAACAGUAUAUUGGUGUCAAGCAACUACUGAGCAUUAAAGUAUUGUCAAGUCAAGAGUCACGUGGUCAUCAUGUUACAUACUGCUAUUCAGUAUUUACUACUCAUCGUCUUUAUUCCUGUUAUCCACAGAAGACAACAGUACCAGGAUUAACCAAAACGUCUUCAUAUUAGAUUAUGUUCUCAUAUUUAAUUAAUCAUCUCUUUAAAAUGGCAUUGAAACAUUCUGGAGUCAUUCUAACCGUACAUUGUGUUAAGAAACAAUCAUUUUUGUUUCAUCGCAGAUAGAACACACCCUUUUGUCAAGGUGAGCUUACAUCCAUCAGACAUUUAGAAGACGCCCGAGGUUCUGAGGCUUCCUCAGUGUGAUUGUUUCAUGCAGCACCCGUCCAAAUGAUGGAAAAUGAAUUGAACCAACUAAGCCAAAAAUAAACGUGCUUUCUGAUGUCUCCAGCCUGUCAGAACUGUAUUCUGUGCGACUGAAGAGGGAACUGGAUGAAGAAAAGUGAAAACAAGAUUUUGUGGAUGGAGUUCAGUUCAGUUCACAUCCUCCGGGGUGUCCUGGCUCGGCUCUCCAACAGAGCCAUGUCUUUUUCACCAGUUUGCUAAUCCUGUCUGCAUCCCUGCCCUUGAUGUUUCCACCCCGGCACUCUACCACGGAGAACAGAGCGCUGGCCAACACCGGCUGGUGGAACAUGUUGAGCCUCGUGGAGAAGAGCUGACGUGGAGGAAUGCACCGGGAGUGAGCGACCUGAACUGUAUUUAAUUCAAGCCAUAAUGUGUUAUGCAAAUGUUAUUUACUGGCACAUCAUCAGAUCUUUUAUGUAUUUUAUUUUUUUUUUUCUCCACACAAGUGAUCUGAUUGAAGUGGAGAUAAAUGAGAUCCCGGUUUUAUUUGAAGUUCAAACUGCCCUCGGCGGGGAAAAGAUCAGACUGGCUUUGGCUCCACCAGAAAACUCUGUUACGCUGCUUGUGCCUUGUUCAUAUCGCAAACCCUCCUAACUCAACCCACAGCACGCUUUUAUUGCCCCAGACUCAAGAGGCCAAACCCGGCUUUAAUAGAGAACAUGAGCUGAAAUGACUUUAUGAACCCAAUAAAAUAAGGUUAGCAUUUUCCCGCAGACAUUAUGGGAGUUUAUUUAACAUUCAGCUAAAAUUAUAUUAUCAACACAGUUACAAGGUAUUUAUAGCUCACCGCUGACUCCAUUUGCUUGAGUUGUUACCCUCUAAAUGCUGCUGCGCUGUGCGUUGAUAACGGGACACAGAGAAGCAUAAAAAAGCACAUUCAUAAUAAGCUUACUCUCCCGUAAGAGCAACAUGGAUCUCUGUGACGCACGCCUCAAAAAAAAGUAGAAACGUUAGCAUCGUUGUCAACAUUCUCUGCACACACAGGCUCUCUCUUGUUCGCUGUUUUGCAUUGUGCACAUUGCUGGAAAAGUUGAAAGCCUUGGAUGACCUCCUGCGUGAAAGGCAGAUCGUUGCCGAGGCUCGGCUAGCGCUCUGUGCAAGGAGCGCAGGAUGUUUAGAGGGUAAUUGUUCGCUGCUGUACCGUAAGCAAGCGCAGCAUUUUAAAAGCAGAGCAGUGAAUAAUGUAAAGGCUCUGCGACCCAAAAGUAAUGCCUCUUAAUCUGCUGUACUUUCCCGUUUGGUAAAUGUAGCAUUUAUCUCGGCAUGAGUAGCUCAGUUAGAUAUUGGAUUACCUUAAAAAUGCUCCACCAGAAUUAAGGCUUGAUUACUUUUGGUGUUUGGCCCUCU